This 182-nucleotide non-coding RNA is filed under the name Homo sapiens (human). Its description in RNAcentral is "bip internal ribosome entry site (IRES)". It matches the Rfam family "bip internal ribosome entry site (IRES)". From Rfam's summary of the family: This family represents the bip internal ribosome entry site (IRES). BiP protein expression has been found to be significantly enhanced by the heat shock response due to IRES-dependent translation. The record is from Rfam by way of RNAcentral. Lineage: Eukaryota; Metazoa; Chordata; Mammalia; Primates; Hominidae.
UGCCGGCCGAGACAGCACAGACAGACCGACCGACCGACUGGGGUGUUUCGCAAUUGUGAGAGGCGGGUAACCGCGCUGCGCUCCUGUGCUGCGGCCGGUGGCUUCAUUGCCUGCGACGCCCUGCCUCUGCUGCCCGACUGGCUGGCAAGAUGAAGCUCUCCCUGGUGGCGGCGAUGCUGCUG